GCCUGCCCUCCAUGACUCUCAACCUUGAAUAGGAAUGGGGGAGUCAGAAGAAAUCCAAAGCAGUUCUAGGAAAUUGAGUGCCACAUUCUUUUCUGCACGCCUGAGGUAUAAAAUGAUGUGAUCAGACUACCAGAGCUCAAGAAGUCCCCAGUGAUCAAGGCUGAGCAGGAGGAAUGAGCAGAAGCUCACAGAAUUGGCGUGUAUCUCUAGCUUGAUGAAGCAGUCAUUUAAUACAGGGCAUUUCAUGUGAUCUCAGAAAGGAGAGCAGAGUCCCGGUCCCCUAAGAGCAAGCUCUCCCCCUCCUCCACUACUGUGCCCUCCGGCUUCAGAGAGGUGGGUAGGAAGCAGUACCCAAUCCAGAAAUUGUAACUCUGGGGGGAAGAAGGAAAAAACUGGUUCCAGAUAAGGUGAAAUGUGUAUCAAGGAAAAUUCACCCUUAAUGUAUCAAAAAUAGAAAGUUUGGAAGGAUAUUCCAUAUUAAGUAUGAACAAGAUGAAAAGAAAUAGCUUGGCAACUAUCCAGCCUUCCUCCCCGUCCAACAUACAUGAGUAAACAAGAG
This 559-nucleotide long non-coding RNA is filed under the name Equus caballus (horse). RNAcentral describes it as "lncRNA (ENSECAG00000049433.1)". The record is from RNAcentral. Lineage: Eukaryota; Metazoa; Chordata; Mammalia; Perissodactyla; Equidae.